CCUGUACUUAUAGUUGGAACUACAGUUGCUAUAACAAAAACAAAUGGAUACGGCGAUGAUCAUUACUGCUGGCUGUCUCUAUCUGGUUGACUCAGAUGGGCAUUUGUUGGACCAGCCUUAUUCGUGAUACUGUUCAACGUCAUUGUUUUGAUUCUGCUGUUUAAGAAAAUGUUUGCUCUAAAAGCCAUGGUAGACAAGCAAAUUAAAGACAAGAUCAA
Dreissena polymorpha is the source of this 218-nucleotide long non-coding RNA. RefSeq lists it as uncharacterized. NCBI's taxonomy places the organism in Eukaryota, Metazoa, Mollusca, Bivalvia, Myida, Dreissenidae. The record is from RefSeq and is a predicted model, not a curated record. The transcript has 3 exons.